RNAcentral lists this ribosomal RNA (505 nucleotides) under uncultured bacterium. RNAcentral's name for it is "partial 16S ribosomal RNA". It matches the Rfam family "Bacterial small subunit ribosomal RNA", at positions 28 to 507 of the family's 1533-position model. The record is from RNAcentral.
GACGAACGCUGGCGGCGUGCCUAAUACAUGCAAGUAGAACGCACAGUUUAUACCGUAGCUUGCUCCACCAUAGACUGUGAGUUGCGAACGGGUGAGUAACGCGUAGGUAACCUGCCUGGUAGCGGGGGAUAACUAUUGGAAACGAUAGCUAAUACCGCAUAAUAUUGAUUAUUGCAUGAUAAUUGAUUGAAAGAUGCUAUUGCAUCACUACCAGAUGGACCUGCGUUGUAUUAGCUAGUAGGUGAGGUAACGGCUCACCUAGGCGACGAUACAUAGCCGACCUGAGAGGGUGAUCGGCCACACUGGGACUGAGACACGGCCCAGACUCCUACGGGAGGCAGCAGUAGGGAAUCUUCGGCAAUGGACGAAAGUCUGACCGAGCAACGCCGCGUGAGUGAAGAAGGUUUUCGGAUCGUAAAGCCCUGUUGUAAGAGAAGAACGGGUGUGAGAGUGGAAAGUUCACACUGUGACGGUAUCUUACCAGAAAGGGACGGCUAACUACGUG